AAAUUCCUGAGGUGAGCGAUAACUUUGCCAAUUUUGAACCUACAUUUUGAUUUAUGGGAUUCCAAAUAACCUUCGAUGGAUGUCAAGCUUCUAUAGGUAGAAGGCAGAUAUCAAGGUGAGGUAACCCACCUAGCUUCGCUAGGCGUCAAUAAGCAGAGCCGUCACUUUGGGGUUUAA
This 177-nucleotide non-coding RNA is filed under the name Lachnoanaerobaculum sp. ICM7. RNAcentral's name for it is "6S / SsrS RNA". It matches the Rfam family "6S / SsrS RNA". From Rfam's summary of the family: E. coli 6S RNA was the first non coding RNA to be sequenced, but its function was unknown until recently. It consists of 184 nucleotides that fold into an extended hairpin structure with a large single-stranded internal bulge. RNAcentral also lists the same sequence under 3 other names. Lineage: Bacteria; Bacillati; Bacillota; Clostridia; Lachnospirales; Lachnospiraceae. The record is from RNAcentral.